This 482-nucleotide ribosomal RNA is filed under the name uncultured bacterium. RNAcentral describes it as "bacterial SSU rRNA". It matches the Rfam family "Bacterial small subunit ribosomal RNA", at positions 29 to 506 of the family's 1533-position model. The record is from RNAcentral.
UUGAACGCUGGCGGCGUGCUUAACACAUGCAAGUCGAUCGGUAACGCGGGGGCAACCCUGGCGACGAGAGGCGGACGGGUGAGGAACGCUUGGGAAUCUGCCCUUCAGCGGGGGACAACCCGGGGAAACCCGGGCUAAUACCGCAUACGCUCCACGGAGGAAAGCCGGGGACCGCAAGGCCUGGCACUGAAGGAUGAGCCCAAGUCGGAUUAGCUAGUUGGCGGGGUAACGGCCCACCAAGGCGACGAUCCGUAGCUGGUCUGAGAGGACGAUCAGCCACACUGGGACUGAGACACGGCCCAGACUCCUACGGGAGGCAGCAGUGGGGAAUAUUGGACAAUGGGGGAAACCCUGAUCCAGCGACGCCGCGUGGGUGAAGAAGGCCUGCGGGUUGUAAAGCCCUUUCGGUAGGGACGAAAGCUCUCGACCUAACACGUCGGGAGGUUGACUUAACCUACAAAAGAAGCACCGGCUAACUCUGU